UACGGGGGGAGCAAGCGUUGUUCGGAUUUACUGGGCGUAAAGGGCGCGUAGGCGGUCGUGACAAGUCACUUGUGAAAUCUCCGGGCUUAACUCGGAACGGUCAAGUGAUACUGUCGGACUAGAGUACAGAAGGGGCAACUGGAAUUCUCGGUGUAGCGGUGAAAUGCGUAGAUAUCGAGAGGAACACCGGUGGCGAAAGCGGCUCACUGGAUCUUAUCUGACGCUGAGGCACGAAAGCCAGGGUAGCAAACGGG
Molecule: ribosomal RNA, 254 nt
Filed under: uncultured bacterium
Lineage: Bacteria
Description: partial 16S ribosomal RNA
Rfam family: Bacterial small subunit ribosomal RNA
Source: RNAcentral